RNAcentral lists this ribosomal RNA (320 nucleotides) under Corynebacterium matruchotii. RNAcentral describes it as "bacterial SSU rRNA". It matches the Rfam family "Bacterial small subunit ribosomal RNA", at positions 157 to 474 of the family's 1533-position model. Lineage: Bacteria; Bacillati; Actinomycetota; Actinomycetes; Mycobacteriales; Corynebacteriaceae. The record is from RNAcentral.
CUGGGUCUAAUACCGGAUAGGACCAUGGUUUAGUGUCUCAUGGUGGAAAGAUUAUUGUUUUGGUGCAGGAUGAGCUCGCGGCCUAUCAGCUUGUUGGUGGGGUAAUGGCCUACCAAGGCGUCGACGGGUAGCCGGCCUGAGAGGGUGGACGGCCACAUUGGGACUGAGAUACGGCCCAGACUCCUACGGGAGGCAGCAGUGGGGAAUAUUGCACAAUGGGCGCAAGCCUGAUGCAGCGACGCCGCGUGGGGGAUGACGGCUUCGGGUUGUAAACUCCUUUCGUUAGGGACGAAGCCGCACUUUUUUUGGGUGUGGAGACG